CUGCGCAUGAAAAAGACAUUAGAGCUUAUUAAACUACAACAGCAGUAGCAAGCAUUUAAACCAUCAACAUAUUAAAACAGUGGUAUGGCAAGAUGCUACAGCACAGUUUUAUAUUGUUAAGAUAAAAUAUUUUUUAGCAAUGAACUUGCAGAGAGGGUAAGUAGCUAUUGCUAGGUCGCCCUGUCUAUUGAGAGCCUGUCGGGCCAACUGGGUGAAGCUGCAUCCAGAUCAAGUGAGUACUCGAGAGAUGCUCUCUCUCUGCUCCUGUACUUUCCACCUCGUUUGUAUCUACGAGUUUACAAUGGGUGAACCCUGGUGAAGGCUGAGUGUCAAUCUAAUUAAUGAAUUUUCUCUGAGGGCUAUGAAGCUUGGUUAUGUGGGGAGACUUCGAAACAGAGGCAAGUGGGGGGAAAGAGAGUCUUUAUUGACUCAUCUGAACAAGUGGUGAAUAUCAAACUAUAUUUAUAUUUCCAUUAGGCCGUGUGUCUCCUAAUCUAAGAUUGUCAUGUAAACUAAAAUGCUACUCAUUUCACUUGAGUACAAGCUACGUGACUGAUGUAGAAAAGACCUAAUUGCUAUUUUUAUUUAAUUUUUUUUAAAAUAAUUUUUCUUAAAUGCUACUCAUUGCACUAGAGUUCAAGCUACGUAAUUGAUGUAAAU
Non-coding RNA from Pelobates cultripes (western spadefoot toad), 660 nucleotides. The record is from the annotation of a GenBank genome assembly. NCBI's taxonomy places the organism in Eukaryota, Metazoa, Chordata, Amphibia, Anura, Pelobatidae.